Molecule: long non-coding RNA, 2018 nt
Filed under: Macaca mulatta (Rhesus monkey)
Lineage: Eukaryota; Metazoa; Chordata; Mammalia; Primates; Cercopithecidae
Description: lncRNA (ENSMMUG00000062757.1)
Source: RNAcentral
AUCCAGGCCUCAGGUGACUCUCCCAUCUCGUGAAAACAAGCAGGAAGCCCACGUUAUUAUUUUCUUCUUUACUCAAAACAUCGAGAAAAAAGAAAUCCUUCUUUUCCCUUUUUAGUCUUGAACCACAUUCACAUCCCUGCCUCCCUUGGAGACUUUUCUUCAGCUGCAAUUUACAAAUGUGAAAAGCUCCCCUCCAACCCCGAUCCGAGACAGACUUUAUUUAGGAAUAAGAAGGAAGGAGGGCCCUGCUGUGUCCUCCUUUUGUCUCGGUCUUCUUUCCUCUCACUCGGGUGACACAGAAAGAGAAGGAAAAUUACGCAUCAUCGAGGAAGGCCCUGAAUGUAAGACAAAACAAACAUACUACAACCAAAACUGGGGUCAGAGGCUUGCUUUCCAAAUUGGGUCUUGGGGGUGGGUGGAAAUCGAGGGAGCUGCUCUACUGAAAUUUGCUCUGGCUUCUGGGAGCCACGUAUCCUGUCUAACAUCCCUGCCCCCCGCCACUCCCCACCACCAGACAAAAGAAUUUCUCUUGUAGAAAAACAAGAUCAUAAGACCAUAAUUGUUUGAUUUUUUUGUUGUUGUUUUCCCUAAGUAAAACAUGGUAAGUGUAUGUGAAUGUAUUUGGGGAAAGGGAGAUUUGGCUGGAGGGUGCAGGAGUCUGGAGGUGUAUGCUAAUUGCAUGUUCUCUAUUAAAUCCUCCAGGUCCCUAAAGCUCCCUCCUCCCUGGCAGAACAUCACAGAGGUCUCAGAGGCUGCUUUGAGGCUUUUGCAGAGGCUGGAAGACAACCCUUUGGAGUUCAGCACACAGGGCCUCUCCCAUCAUUCAUGCUCAUUCUUGGAACAGAGGAGGACUGCAGAUGGCAUUUCGUGGUUUUAAGGAUACUUUGGGGAACCAUUUGGAAAAUAAAUUAAGCAUCGCAAUGGGAAAAAUCACUCCAGAAUCAAUUCGGAUUUGGACCUUCCUAGAAUGGACUUCUGAAAGGAGGACCUGAAGAUUCUUUCUAAGAGGACAAAGCUGCUGUUUGUGAAGAGAGAAAACUUUAGGAAACUUCCAGGGGAGCCAGGUAGGAAGCAAGUCAUGGCUUCUGGGCCCGGGGAGGAGAAAGCAGACUGAGUCAUUGUCCUCCAGGAAGAUGUAAACCUGCACACACUGAUCCCUGCAUGUAGGGAUGGAGAGCAAUGUUAACGGCCAACUUAGCGACUGUUAGCACACCUUCUGUGAAUUAACCCAUUUAAUACCCACAGCAACCUAUAAGACAGGCCUGGGGUCAUGGUACAAAGGGAGACCCUUACCCCUUUUUCAUCCUUACUCUGUCUCUAUCACGAGGGGGCAGACACUCAAUGCAUGGACUGUCUAGUCACAAGUUGAAGCUCAGUCCAGAAACCUGUCACAAUCAGGAGCCCCUUGGACACCUUGCAGGCCUAGGAGUGUCAUGGCACUGUCUGCCCUGCGAAGGACAGGCCAGGGAAGAAACCGUGUGGGCCCUACAAGGCCAUGGGUUAGAGGCUACUUAGGCCAGAAAUUCCCAAGUUCCUCACACCUACAACGUGGUGUGGCAGCGGGUAUGGAGGAUGCCAGUGAAAUGUGCCCCCAGUCCCCAGAGAAGGGUGUGGCUGGAGGAGGCCAGAACAAAGCUCUCCAGAACAUGGCCUAGGCUGCCCUGAUCUAAGGCAGUACAGCUUGUUAUCAUUAGCUCCAUUCUCACAGAUGAAGAAACCAAGGCCCCAGAAGGUCAAAUAACUUGUGCAAGGUGAGGGAGCUACGAGGAGGCAGAGGUAGGAUUUGAAUGCAGGCGGUCUGACUGACUCUUACAGAUGGCUCCCCCUGCCUCCCCAAACCUCAAGGCUCACGAUAAGUGUGUGUGUUUUAUUAAUUUUGGGGGUUACAUAGUAGGUGUAGAUAUUUAUGGGGUACGUGAGAUAUUUUGAUACAGGCUUUUAAUGCAUAAUAAUCACAUCGAGGUAAGUGGAGUAUCCAUCACCUCAAGUAUUUGUCCUUUCUUUGCAUUAAAAACAAU